UACGGAGGGAGCUAGCGUUAUUCGGAAUUACUGGGCGUAAAGCGCACGUAGGCGGCUUUGUAAGUAAGAGGUGAAAGCCCAGAGCUCAACUCUGGAAUUGCCCUUUUAGACUGCAUCGCUUGAAUCAUGGAGAGGUCAGUGGAAUUCCGAGUGUAGAGGUGAAAUUCGUAGAUAUUCGGAAGAACACCAGUGCGGAAGGACG
RNAcentral lists this ribosomal RNA (202 nucleotides) under uncultured bacterium. RNAcentral's name for it is "partial 16S ribosomal RNA". It matches the Rfam family "Bacterial small subunit ribosomal RNA", at positions 524 to 724 of the family's 1533-position model. The record is from RNAcentral.